UGCUACAAUGGGUAGUACAGAGGGUUGCCAAGCCGUAAGGUGGAGCUAAUCCCUUAAAGCUACUCUCAGUUCGGAUUGUAGGCUGAAACUCGCCUACAUGAAGCUGGAGUUACUAGUAAUCGCAGAUCAGAAUGCUGCGGUGAAUGCGUUCCCGGGUCUUGUACACACCGCCCGUCACCCCACGGGAGUUGGAGACGCCCGAAGCCGACUAUCUAACCUUUUGGAAGAAGUCGUCGAAGGUGGAAUCAAUAACUGGGGUGAAGUCGUAACAAGGUAGCCGUAUCGGAAGGUGCGGCUGGAUCACCUCCUUUCUAAGGAGA
Molecule: ribosomal RNA, 320 nt
Filed under: Clostridioides difficile
Lineage: Bacteria; Bacillati; Bacillota; Clostridia; Peptostreptococcales; Peptostreptococcaceae
Description: partial 16S ribosomal RNA
Rfam family: Bacterial small subunit ribosomal RNA
Source: RNAcentral